ACUGCUUCUCGGCCUCUUGACUAAGGUCAAGUGUAGCAUCUGUGCUUAUCAGUUUAAUAUCUGAUAUGUCCUCUAUCCAAGGAAAACAUAUUAAAUGGACUUUUGGAGCAAGGAAAUGGAAUGGGAGCUUGCUCCACCCACUCCACAUAUCAACCUGGUAUUGCCGUACUUCCAGGAUCAGUGCACCCCUU
This is a small nuclear RNA of Echinops telfairi (small Madagascar hedgehog), 191 nucleotides long. Its record names the gene U2. It matches the Rfam family "U2 spliceosomal RNA". Rfam says of the family: U2 is a small nuclear RNA (snRNA) component of the spliceosome (involved in pre-mRNA splicing). Complementary binding between U2 snRNA (in an area lying towards the 5' end but 3' to hairpin I) and the branchpoint sequence (BPS) of the intron results the bulging out of an unpaired adenosine, on the BPS, which initiates a nucleophilic attack at the intronic 5' splice site, thus starting the first of two transesterification reactions that mediate splicing. NCBI's taxonomy places the organism in Eukaryota, Metazoa, Chordata, Mammalia, Afrosoricida, Tenrecidae. The record is from Ensembl.